GUUUCGGGGCGGGGUGAGAGUCCCCACCGGCGGUUAAAGUCCGCGAGCGGCUUUUUGGCUGCCGAAUCGGUGUAAUUCCGAUACCGACGGUAUAGUCCGGAUGAAAGAACA
RNAcentral lists this non-coding RNA (111 nucleotides) under human gut metagenome. RNAcentral's name for it is "FMN riboswitch (RFN element)". It matches the Rfam family "FMN riboswitch aptamer (RFN element)", at positions 8 to 131 of the family's 138-position model. Rfam says of the family: The RFN element is a highly conserved domain that is found frequently in the 5'-untranslated regions of prokaryotic mRNAs that encode for flavin mononucleotide (FMN) biosynthesis and transport proteins. This element is a metabolite-dependent riboswitch that directly binds FMN in the absence of proteins. In Bacillus subtilis, the riboswitch most likely controls gene expression by causing premature transcription termination within the 5' untranslated region of the ribDEAHT operon and precluding access to the ribosome-binding site of ypaA mRNA. The record is from RNAcentral.